This 427-nucleotide ribosomal RNA is filed under the name uncultured Limnohabitans sp. RNAcentral describes it as "partial 16S ribosomal RNA". It matches the Rfam family "Bacterial small subunit ribosomal RNA", at positions 355 to 774 of the family's 1533-position model. Lineage: Bacteria; Pseudomonadati; Pseudomonadota; Betaproteobacteria; Burkholderiales; Comamonadaceae. RNAcentral also lists the same sequence under 1 other name. The record is from RNAcentral.
UGGGGAAUUUUGGACAAUGGACGCAAGUCUGAUCCAGCCAUUCCGCGUGCAGGACGAAGGCCUUCGGGUUGUAAACUGCUUUUGUACAGAACGAAAAGGUCUCUAUUAAUACUAGGGGCUCAUGACGGUACUGUAAGAAUAAGCACCGGCUAACUACGUGCCAGCAGCCGCGGUAAUACGUAGGGUGCAAGCGUUAAUCGGAAUUACUGGGCGUAAAGCGUGCGCAGGCGGUUAUAUAAGACAGAUGUGAAAUCCCCGGGCUCAACCUGGGAACUGCAUUUGUGACUGUAUAGCUGGAGUGCGGCAGAGGGGGAUGGAAUUCCGCGUGUAGCAGUGAAAUGCGUAGAUAUGCGGAGGAACACCGAUGGCGAAGGCAAUCCCCUGGGCCUGCACUGACGCUCAUGCACGAAAGCGUGGGGAGCAAACA